Magnolia sinica is the source of this 1931-nucleotide RNA transcript. It is a transcript of the gene named serine carboxypeptidase-like 51, with no coding region annotated. The transcript is spliced from 14 exons. The record is from RefSeq and is a predicted model, not a curated record. Lineage: Eukaryota; Viridiplantae; Streptophyta; Magnoliopsida; Magnoliales; Magnoliaceae.
GAGAAGCUUCCUCUGCAACCAAUCUCUUAUUGAUUAUUGAUUUGCAGAAUCUUUUUCAUUAUUCUCUUAGGUUGGCCUCUCCUCCUCCUCAAUGGAGAAAUCCUCCUCUCUUCUUUUCCUUUCAUAUCUCCUCCUCUCGCUUGCAACCUUUCAUGGAGAAUUCGUCUCUGCUGUUCGUAAGCAAGAUGGAUCUGAGCAUUGGGGCUAUGUUCAAGUUCGACCCAAGGCUCAUAUGUUUUGGUGGCUUUACCGGAGUCCGCAGAGGGUCGACAGUCCAUCAGAUCCGUGGCCAGUAGUACUUUGGUUGCAGGGCGGACCUGGAGCUUCGGGUGUCGGGAUUGGGAAUUUCGAAGAGAUUGGACCUUUGGAUGUGGAUUUGAAACCGCGGAAUUCUACGUGGUUGCAGAAAGCAGAUCUCUUGUUUGUGGAUAAUCCAGUCGGGACAGGAUUCAGUUUCGUGGAGGACGAAAGUCUGGUUGUGAAAACCGAUGAAGAGGCGGCAACUGAUUUAACUACAUUGUUGAAGGAGCUCUUCAACAAGAUUACGAGCCUCCAAAAGAGUCAUUUCUUCAUUGUGGCAGAGUCUUAUGGAGGCAAGUUCGCUGUCACGCUUGGAUUAUCAGUUGUAAAAGCCGUUGAGGAUGGACAAUUGAAACUUAACCUUGGAGGAGUUGUUUUGGGAGAUAGUUGGAUUUCUCCGGAAGAUUUUGUGUUCUCAUGGGGUCCUCUUCUCAAAGAUGUGUCACGACUCGACGAAAAUGGUGCAAGUGGUUCAAACAGCAUGGCUCAAAAAAUCCAGCAACAGAUUGAGAAAGGCCAAUACCAAGAUGCCACAAGAUUGUGGAGUGAUCUUGAGGGCUUCAUCAGUUCCAGUAGUAGCUCUGUGGAUUUCUAUAACUUCUUAUUGGACUCGGGGAACGAUCCUGUUUCGUUGUCAUCUGUUGGAUUAUCAGAUGGAAUGCCAAUGAAGUAUUCAAGUUAUCUAAGCUCGAGGGCUUCCUCAAAUGGUGAUCUUAGUAGUUUCAUGAAUGGCGUCAUCAGAGAGAAGCUAAGGAUUAUUCCUAAGGAUGUUAGCUGGGGAGGGCAGUCGGAUCUUGUUUUUACAGGUCUAGAAAAUGAUUUUAUGAAACCAAGGAUUAAUGAGGUUGAUGAGCUCCUAGCGAAAGGGGUAAAUGUCACUAUAUACAAUGGGCAGCUUGAUGUCAUAUGCGCAACCAAAGGAACAGAAGCAUGGGUCCAGAAGCUCAAGUGGGAAGGGCUAAAAAAUUUCACUCGCUUGGACCGAACCCCCCUCUACUGUGAGGGUGGAUCUGAAACAAAAGGAUUCAUGAGGUCAUACAAGAAUCUACACUUCUAUUGGAUUCUUGGGGCUGGUCAUUUUGUGGUGCUGUCUACUAUCCUUUCCCUCGUGAUGGUGCAGGGCCGUGCAGCUCAGUCGUAGUACGAAAGUCCGGGAUGAAAGGCAACUGUAGACGUGUACUAUGGAAUGAAAAAGGAUGCGAGUUCCUACCCCUUCAAUCCAGAGCUCUAUGGGGCCCAUCUGUUUGUGUCUAUGUGUACCGGUGGAUCAGCCCUGCAUAGCUCUAAAUAUGGUUGCUGAGAUCACCCAAUCCCCUCUUGCUUCCGCUUCCAAGUAAAGUACAGAGGAAGAAAUAAAUACAAUAAUUUACAUUAAAGCCAUCUUGAUGGCUAGAAGAGCAAAAUUCCUCUGAAUGUUCAGAUUUUCAUUCUUUACUUCUUGUUUCUUAUUUUUUCCCUUUUCUUUUUUUCCUUUCUUUUAAUUAAUUGUUUAAAUAUGAAAAAACAAGAAAAAUGAUAAUCCGUUUAAGAAUGGGUUGAUGGAUUUUGGCCGUCUAAAUAAAUAAAUUUAAAAGAAAAAGGAAAGAAAAGAAAAAACAAGGAACAUACAUCAUGCAUGUAUUUCUAAAGUG